UAUUUGCGUUAGGGAUAGUAAUGAAAAGCCCACAGCGAGGUACGAGCGCGGACUUGCAAUGUAUAGCCCGACCCUUG
This 77-nucleotide unclassified non-coding RNA is filed under the name Flaviramulus basaltis. RNAcentral describes it as "Flavo-1 RNA". The record is from RNAcentral. Lineage: Bacteria; Pseudomonadati; Bacteroidota; Flavobacteriia; Flavobacteriales; Flavobacteriaceae.